UUUUUUUUUUUGUUUGUUUGUUGUGGGUUUUUUUGAAAACUACAGAAUUCUUGCAAGAAAUUAAGAUGACAGUGGAGAUAACUGGGGGAAGACGAGAGUGCUUGCUUGCUUGAAAUAGACUACAACUCAGUUAGUACUCAAAUUCACGAUUGAAUAAGGUGUAUUGCAGUUCUAACCACUAGACCGUUUUGAAAUGCUCUUUUUAUUCCUCUUGGUUUCUCAGCAGGAAAGUAUAAUCUGAACCUUUUUUUUUUUUAUCCAUCUAGAUCUCAGGUUUGUUAUCUGUUCAAGACAUGCCCUCUGAUAUUUAUGUAUUACAAUUUGCCUUGUUUGAGCUCUUCAGAGUUUGCCAUUCAUUUAGAUUUUUUUUGUUGUAACCACUGAUUUAACUUGAAAUCUAUCCCUCUACACGCAAGACAAUUUUGCCAUUUUCCUUCAGAAGCCAGACAAUUUAUAGAUGAGCUCAGACCAAAUAAAUCAGGCAAGAUAUAUUUAUAGGUCUAAUAUACCAUAUAUAUUAAUAUAUAUUUUUAAUCACCAUCAUACUGUCACUCUGCAGAAAUAAUUAGCUGUGAGCAGGGCAUACACAUCUGCUAUCCAAGCAGAUCCUAUUGCUGGUAUCCAGGCUAGGACACUUCAGAACAGCCAGUGUUUAGAGUCAGUCACUGCAUACUGCUUGUGUCCAUCAGUGAUGAGUUUAGCUGCCUUCAUUUCCCUGCACUAAUUCACCUGUAUGACUGUAUAACUAUAAUUAUCUUUAGACUGAGAAAUUUCUCCAUGAGAGAACAUUUACAGUAAUUCUGAAUGAAGAAACAUAGAUUCACACUAUAUUAACUUCAAUACUUUGCUCAAAGGCAUUGACUCAUCUUCAGCUCCUUUUCUCAUGGCAUGAAGCCUCAGGAAUUCUCAGUUUUGCUUUCCAAACAAGGACUGUGUCUCGGAUAGCUGUCUCCAUUUUGGGUCGACUAGAUUUCUGAAUAUUCAUGUAUGGAAACCAACACC
RNAcentral lists this long non-coding RNA (1002 nucleotides) under Strigops habroptila (Kakapo). Its description in RNAcentral is "lncRNA (ENSSHBG00005003678.1)". The record is from RNAcentral. Lineage: Eukaryota; Metazoa; Chordata; Aves; Psittaciformes; Psittacidae.